GAUGAACGCUGGCGGCGUGCUUAACACAUGCAAGUCGAACGGAAAGGCCCAAGCUUGCUUGGGUACUCGAGUGGCGAACGGGUGAGUAACACGUGGGUGAUCUGCCCUGCACUUCGGGAUAAGCCUGGGAAACUGGGUCUAAUACCGGAUAGGACGAUGGUUUGGAUGCCAUUGUGGAAAGUUUUUUCGGUGUGGGAUGAGCUCGCGGCCUAUCAGCUUGUUGGUGGGGUAAUGGCCUACCAAGGCGUCGACGGGUAGCCGGCCUGAGAGGGUGUACGGCCACAUUGGGACUGGGAUACGGCCCAGAAUCCUACGGGAGGCAGCAGUGGGGAAUAUUGCACAAUGGGCGCAAGCCUGAUGCAGCGACGCCGCGUGGGGGGAUGACGGCCUUCGGGUUGUAAACUCCUUUCGCUAGGGACGAAGCGUUUUUGUGACGGUACCUGGAGAAGAAGCACCGGCUAACUACGUG
This 469-nucleotide ribosomal RNA is filed under the name uncultured bacterium. RNAcentral's name for it is "partial 16S ribosomal RNA". It matches the Rfam family "Bacterial small subunit ribosomal RNA", at positions 28 to 507 of the family's 1533-position model. The record is from RNAcentral.